This is a long non-coding RNA of Pan troglodytes (chimpanzee), 382 nucleotides long. RefSeq lists it as uncharacterized. The record is from RefSeq and is a predicted model, not a curated record. The transcript has 4 exons. NCBI's taxonomy places the organism in Eukaryota, Metazoa, Chordata, Mammalia, Primates, Hominidae.
UCCUUCAAACCUCACUUUGGUUUCCAUGCCCUACCACUCCACUAAGAUCUCUAGGAGACCUAAUAAUAACCUUUUAAGAUAUAGAUCUAUGAGACUUCAAAGCCUGGAAAGUACAGAUAUGUAUGGGAAUGAAGUAUAUGCUUUGCAGAAGUCACUUAAUGAAAGAGAUCUCAGUCCUUCUGUUGACCAGCCAUAGUGGUGAGAAUCAGAAAACAAGCUCUCAGUAAAUGCUCAUUUGUUCAUGCCCAGAUCAGGCCUGGCACAUAGGCAUUUAGGAAAUAUUAGUUGAGUGAUGAAGAACUCCAAUAUUUACUCCAAGAAGUAAAUAUUAGUGGAAUAAUGAAGUAUAGUUCCAGUCAUACACUAUACUGCCUCAAAGAAG